Molecule: ribosomal RNA, 492 nt
Filed under: uncultured bacterium
Lineage: Bacteria
Description: partial 16S ribosomal RNA
Rfam family: Bacterial small subunit ribosomal RNA
Source: RNAcentral
AGUGAACGCUGGCGGUAGGCCUAACACAUGCAAGUCGAACGGCAGCACAGUAAGAGCUUGCUCUUACGGGUGGCGAGUGGCGGACGGGUGAGGAAUACAUCGGAAUCUACUUUUUCGUGGGGGAUAACGUAGGUAAACUUACGCUCUUACAGCAUACGACCUACGGGUGAAAGCAUGGGAUCUUCGGACCUUGCGCGAUUGAAUGAGCCGCUGUCGGAUUAGCUAGUUGGCGGGGUAAAGGCCAACCAAGGCGACGAUUCGUUGCUGGUCUGAGAGGAUGGUCAGCCACACUGGAACGGAGACACGGUCCAGACGACUACGGGAGGCAGCAGUGGGGAAUAUUGGACAAUGGGCGCAAGCCUGAUCCAGCCAUACCGCGUGUGUGAAGAAGGCGUUCGGGUUGUAAAGCCCUUUUGUUGGGAAAGAAAAGCAGCAGGUUAAGACGCAGCUGUUCUGACGGUACCCAAAGAAUAAGCACCGGCUAACUUCGUG